RNAcentral lists this transfer RNA (65 nucleotides) under Dolichoris vasculosae. RNAcentral's name for it is "tRNA-Thr". The record is from RNAcentral. Lineage: Eukaryota; Metazoa; Arthropoda; Insecta; Hymenoptera; Agaonidae.
UAGUUAUUAAUUUAAAUAAAAUAUUAAUUUUGUAAAUUAAAAAUAAAUUAAAAAUUUAUAACUAA